This is a long non-coding RNA of Bactrocera neohumeralis, 412 nucleotides long. RefSeq lists it as uncharacterized. Lineage: Eukaryota; Metazoa; Arthropoda; Insecta; Diptera; Tephritidae. The record is from RefSeq and is a predicted model, not a curated record. The transcript has 2 exons.
UACAGACGCCAUCAGCAAUACAAGUGUUUUAAGAUCUCUUCAAUAAAUAAUCGUUUAAUAUUAAAUGUGGCGUCGUAAUAUUUCCACAUAUAUAUGUAUAUGCAAAAGUGGAAUGGAAACCAAAAAAUACCCAAGAAAUACAUUAAAAUAUCAAAACUGAUUUCUUCCCACUGCCUUGAGUCCACGACAUAGACUGCGUUCAGAUGCCGAAUCUUCUUGUCGCUUAUUAUCUCUAAAUUAUCUUUUGGCGUAGCUCAUUGCGUUCACACUAGCACAGAUUUUCGACUUCUUUCAUAUCGCAUUCUCAAAUUCUUAUACGCUUUUAGAACUCUAUUAUAUUAUGGAUAUUUACAUAAAUAUUUGUUUAUUACAUACAAAAGAUAGAUUAAAAAUUAAAUUUUCUGACCAUUCA